UCUUGGUCAUUUAGAGGAAGUAAAAGUCGUAACAAGGUCUCCGUUGGUGAACCAGCGGAGGGAUCAUUACUGAGUUAUCAAAACUCCCAACCCUUUGUGAACCUUACCACUGUUGCCUCGGCGUCAGCUGCGGCUACCCUGGGGUGCUACCCUGGAGUGCACCUACCUGGUAGGUGCUACCUGGUAGUUACCCUGUAGCCCGCGUAUAGCGCGCCGGUGGACCAAUAAACUCUGUUUUUACCUGAGAAUCUCUGAAUGCUUCAACUAAAUUAGUUAAAACUUUCAACAACGGAUCUCUUGGUUCUGGCAUCGAUGAAGAACGCAGCGAAAUGCGAUAAGUAAUGUGAAUUGCAGAAUUCAGUGAAUCAUCGAAUCUUUGAACGCACAUUGCGCCCAUUAGUAUUCUAGUGGGCAUGCCUAUUCGAGCGUCAUUUCAACCCUUAAGCCUUAGUUGCUUAGCGUUGGGACUCUGAGCCUUUACGGCCUAGUUCCUUAAAGUUAGUGGCGGAGUUAUAGCACACUCUCAGCGUAGUAAUUUCUAUCUCGCUUUUGUGGUGGCUGUGGCGACUUGCCGUAAAACCCCUAAU
Molecule: ribosomal RNA, 587 nt
Filed under: Hypoxylon trugodes
Lineage: Eukaryota; Fungi; Ascomycota; Sordariomycetes; Xylariales; Hypoxylaceae
Description: eukaryotic LSU rRNA
Rfam family: 5.8S ribosomal RNA (bases 278-431)
Source: RNAcentral